GGCAGCACGAUGUAGCAAUACAUUGGUGGCGACCGGCGCACGGGUGAGUAACGCGUAUGCAACCUACCUAUCAGAGGGGAAUAACCCGGCGAAAGUCGGACUAAUACCGCAUAAAACAGGGGUUCCACAUGGAAAUAUUUGUUAAAGAAUUAUCGCUGAUAGAUGGGCAUGCGUUCCAUUAGAUAGUUGGUGAGGUAACGGCUCACCAAGUCCACGAUGGAUAGGGGUUCUGAGAGGAAGGUCCCCCACACUGGUACUGAGACACGGACCAGACUCCUACGGGAGGCAGCAGUGAGGAAUAUUGGUCAAUGGGCGAGAGCCUGAACCAGCCAAGUCGCGUGAAGGAUGAAGGAUCUAUGGUUUGUAAACUUCUUUUAUAUGGGAAUAAAGUGAGGAACGUGUUCCUUUUUGUAUGUACCAUAUGAAUAAGCAUCGGCUAACUCCGUGCCAGCAGCCGCGGUAAUACGGAGGAUGCGAGCGUUAUCCGGAUUUAUUGGGUUUAAAGGGUGCGUAGGUGGUUAAUUAAGUCAGCGGUGAAAGUUUGUGGCUCAACCAUAAAAUUGCCGUUGAAACUGGUUGACUUGAGUAUAUUUGAGGUAGGCGGAAUGCGUGGUGUAGCGGUGAAAUGCAUAGAUAUCACGCAGAACUCCGAUUGCGAAGGCAGCUUACUAAACUAUAACUGACACUGAAGCACGAAAGCGUGGGGAUCAAACAGGAUUAGAUACCCUGGUAGUCCACGCAGUAAACGAUGAUUACUAGCUGUUUGCGAUACACAGUAAGCGGCACAGCG
RNAcentral lists this ribosomal RNA (790 nucleotides) under uncultured bacterium. Its description in RNAcentral is "bacterial SSU rRNA". It matches the Rfam family "Bacterial small subunit ribosomal RNA", at positions 66 to 853 of the family's 1533-position model. The record is from RNAcentral.